This 496-nucleotide ribosomal RNA is filed under the name uncultured bacterium. RNAcentral describes it as "partial 16S ribosomal RNA". It matches the Rfam family "Bacterial small subunit ribosomal RNA", at positions 28 to 506 of the family's 1533-position model. The record is from RNAcentral.
GAUGAACGCUGGCGGCGUGCCUAAUACAUGCAAGUCGAGCGAACAGACGAGGAGCUUGCUCCUCUGACGUUAGCGGCGGACGGGUGAGUAACACGUGGAUAACCUACCUAUAAGACUGGGAUAACUUCGGGAAACCGGAGCUAAUACCGGAUAAUAUAUUGAACCGCAUGGUUCAAUAGUGAAAGACGGUUUUGCUAUCACUUAUAGAUGGAUCCGCGCCGCAUUAGCUAGUUGGUAAGGUAACGGCUUACCAAGGCAACGAUGCGUAGCCGACCUGAGAGGGUGAUCGGCCACACUGGAACUGAGACACGGUCCAGACUCCUACGGGGGGCAGCAGUAGGGAAUCUUCCGCAAGGGGCGAAAGCCUGACGGAGCAACGCCGCGUGAGUGAUGAAGGCCUUCGGAUCGUAAACCUCUGUUAUUAGGGAAGAACAAAUGUGUAAGUAACUAUGCACGUCUUGACGGUACCUAAUCAGAAAGCCACGGCUAACUACGU